This 68-nucleotide transfer RNA is filed under the name Corcyra cephalonica (rice moth). RNAcentral describes it as "tRNA-Asp". The record is from RNAcentral. Lineage: Eukaryota; Metazoa; Arthropoda; Insecta; Lepidoptera; Pyralidae.
AAAGAAUUAGUUAAAUCAAUAACAUAAAUAUGUCAAAUUUAAAUUAUUAUUUUAUAUAAUAUUCUUUU